RNAcentral lists this ribosomal RNA (799 nucleotides) under uncultured bacterium. RNAcentral describes it as "bacterial SSU rRNA". It matches the Rfam family "Bacterial small subunit ribosomal RNA", at positions 61 to 854 of the family's 1533-position model. The record is from RNAcentral.
GUCGAGCGGCAGCGCGGGGGCAACCCUGGCGGCGAGCGGCGAACGGGUGAGUAACACAUCGGAACGUACCCUGUCGUGGGGGAUAGCCCGGCGAAAGCCGGAUUAAUACCGCAUACGACCUGAGGGUGAAAGCGGGGGAUCGCAAGACCUCGCGCGAUAGGAGCGGCCGAUGGCGGAUUAGCUAGUUGGUGAGGUAAAGGCUCACCAAGGCGACGAUCCGUAGCUGGUCUGAGAGGACGACCAGCCACACUGGAACUGAGACACGGUCCAGACUCCUACGGGAGGCAGCAGUGGGGAAUUUUGGACAAUGGGGGCAACCCUGAUCCAGCCAUUCCGCGUGAGUGAAGAAGGCCUUCGGGUUGUAAAGCCCUUUCGGCAGGAACGAAGCGGUGGAGGCUAAUACCUUUCAUCAAUGACGGUACCUGAAGAAGAAGCACCGGCUAACUACGUGCCAGCAGCCGCGGUAAUACGUAGGGUGCGAGCGUUAAUCGGAAUUACUGGGCGUAAAGCGUGCGCAGGCGGUUCUAUAAGACAGAUGUGAAAUCCCCGGGCUUAACCUGGGAACUGCGUUUGUGACUGUAGGACUGGAGUGUGGCAGAGGGGGGUGGAAUUCCACGUGUAGCAGUGAAAUGCGUAGAGAUGUGGAGGAACACCGAUGGCGAAGGCAGCCCCCUGGGUUAACACUGACGCUCAUGCACGAAAGCGUGGGGAGCAAACAGGAUUAGAUACCCUGGUAGUCCACGCCCUAAACGAUGCGAACUAGGUGUUGGAGAAGGAGACUUCUUUAGUACCGUAGCUA